This 29-nucleotide transfer RNA is filed under the name Filipendula glaberrima. RNAcentral describes it as "partial tRNA-His". The record is from RNAcentral. Lineage: Eukaryota; Viridiplantae; Streptophyta; Magnoliopsida; Rosales; Rosaceae.
GCGGAUGAGCCAAGGUGGAUCAGGGCAGG